CUCCACAACCCUUAUCACCAUCUUUUUCAUUCCCCAAUUAACUCACACCCAGUUUCAUAGAUUUUCUAUACUACCCCAACAUUACUCUCUCCAGGUUUAUGAGACUCUAGAGCGUCGAUUAGUUGUUACAGAAGCGGCUCAAAGGUUGAGACUUCCACUAAUAUCUAAAGAUGGGGAAAUUGAUGAGGAAGAAAUUGAGAAAUGGAGUAUUAUGUCACGGAGUCCGCUUGAUAGUACUAGUACCAGUCUCACUAUCAGCUCGAGUUGAAACUCGUUGAAUUAUGCAAAUAGUGCUGCAACCAGUGGUGCAGCUGCAAAUAAUACUGGUGAUUCAGGAGAACCUGAUGUUGGUGGUGUGCCUAAUCGUUUUCUUGGAAUAACACCUGCUUAUUUGUGGCAAACUCAACUUCAACGAGCACCAUUGUCAAUGGUAUGAAAACUUUGUUUGAUGAUUGUAGAUGGAAGUUUUAAGACCUUUAGUUACAAAAGAGGCCCUUGUUUUAGUUGUCUUAAACUUUCUUACAGGAUCACGACACAUUUCUAAAAUUUUUGUUAACUCUUUCAAGUGAGAUUGAUCUCUUAAUUAUUCAAAA
Molecule: long non-coding RNA, 593 nt
Organism: Gossypium arboreum
Lineage: Eukaryota; Viridiplantae; Streptophyta; Magnoliopsida; Malvales; Malvaceae
Exons: 2
Source: RefSeq, a predicted model, not a curated record